This 440-nucleotide ribosomal RNA is filed under the name uncultured bacterium. RNAcentral's name for it is "bacterial SSU rRNA". It matches the Rfam family "Bacterial small subunit ribosomal RNA", at positions 338 to 793 of the family's 1533-position model. The record is from RNAcentral.
CCUACGGGAGGCAGCAGCUAAGAAUCUUGCGCAAUGGGCGAAAGCCUGACGCAGCAACGCCGCGUGGGGGAGGAAGGCCUUCGGGUUGUAAACCCCUUUUGCGAGGGAAGAAGUUCUGACGGUACCUCGCGAAUAAGCCACGGCUAACUACGUGCCAGCAGCCGCGGUAAUACGUAGGUGGCAAGCGUUGUCCGGAUUCAUUGGGCGUAAAGCGCCCGCAGGCGGCUCGGCAAGUUUCAGGUGAAAUCUCCCGGCUCAACUGGGAGGGGUCCUGGAAAACUGCCGGGCUUGAGGCAGGGAGGGGGAUGCGGAAUUCCAGGUGUAGCGGUGAAAUGCGUAGAUAUCUGGAGGAACAUCAGCGGCGAAGGCGGCAUCCUGGCCCUGUCCUGACGCUCAGGGGCGAAAGCGUGGGGAGCAAACCGGAUUAGAUACCCCAGUAG